This 253-nucleotide unclassified non-coding RNA is filed under the name uncultured Caryophanales bacterium. Its description in RNAcentral is "uncultured Bacillales bacterium contains 16S-23S intergenic spacer region". It matches the Rfam family "Bacterial small subunit ribosomal RNA", at positions 524 to 776 of the family's 1533-position model. Lineage: Bacteria; Bacillati; Bacillota; Bacilli; Caryophanales. The record is from RNAcentral.
UACGUAGGUGGCAAGCGUUGUCCGGAAUUAUUGGGCGCAAAGCGCGCGCAGGCGGGCCUUUAAGUCCGAUGUGAAAGCCCACGGCUCAACCGUGGAGGGUCAUUGGAAACUGGGGGACUUGAGUACAGAAGAGGAAAGCGGAAUUCCACGUGUAGCGGUGAAAUGGGUAGAGAUGUGGAGGAACACCAGUGGCGAAGGCGGCUUUCUGGUCUGUAACCGACGCUGAGGCGCGAAAGCGUGGGUAGCAAACAGG